AUUCAUGUAUUCUAAAAUUUAAGGGUUGGAUUCUUACUCCAAUAAUGUGAUCUUUCACCGUGAAUU
Molecule: transfer RNA, 66 nt
Filed under: Taenia tianguangfui
Lineage: Eukaryota; Metazoa; Platyhelminthes; Cestoda; Cyclophyllidea; Taeniidae
Description: tRNA-Lys
Source: RNAcentral